RNAcentral lists this transfer RNA (87 nucleotides) under Photobacterium angustum. RNAcentral's name for it is "tRNA-Leu". It matches the Rfam family "tRNA". From Rfam's summary of the family: Transfer RNA (tRNA) molecules are approximately 80 nucleotides in length. Lineage: Bacteria; Pseudomonadati; Pseudomonadota; Gammaproteobacteria; Vibrionales; Vibrionaceae. RNAcentral also lists the same sequence under 11 other names. The record is from RNAcentral.
GCCCCGGUGGUGGAAUUGGUAGACACAAGGGAUUUAAAAUCCCUCGGCGUUCGCGCUGUGCCGGUUCAAGUCCGGCCCGGGGCACCA